UGGGGAAUAUUGCACAAUGGGGGAAACCCUGAUGCAGCGACGCCGCGUGAAGGAAGAAGUAUCUCGGUAUGUAAACUUCUAUCAGCAGGGAAGAAAAUGACGGUACCUGACUAAGAAGCCCCGGCUAACUACGUGCCAGCAGCCGCGGUAAUACGUAGGGGGCAAGCGUUAUCCGGAUUUACUGGGUGUAAAGGGAGCGUAGACGGUGUGGCAAGUCUGAUGUGAAAGGCAUGGGCUCAACCUGUGGACUGCAUUGGAAACUGUCAUACUUGAGUGCCGGAGAGGUAAGCGGAAUUCCUAGUGUAGCGGUGAAAUGCGUAGAUAUUAGGAGGAACACCAGUGGCGAAGGCGGCCGCCUGGCCUGUAACUGACGCUCAGGCACGAAAGCGUGGGGAGCAAAUAGGAUUAGAUACC
Molecule: ribosomal RNA, 414 nt
Filed under: uncultured bacterium
Lineage: Bacteria
Description: bacterial SSU rRNA
Rfam family: Bacterial small subunit ribosomal RNA
Source: RNAcentral